This 1157-nucleotide long non-coding RNA is filed under the name Anolis carolinensis (green anole). Its description in RNAcentral is "lncRNA (ENSACAG00000042218.1)". Lineage: Eukaryota; Metazoa; Chordata; Lepidosauria; Squamata; Anolidae. The record is from RNAcentral.
AAGUUUUAUAUAUGUUUUAAACAUAUUAUAUGUCUCCAGUAUUUUUAAGUUUGUAUAGUUAUAAGUAAUAUUUGUGAUUUAUACUCACAAGCCCUGAGGAUGCCCGCCAUAGAUGUGGGCGAAACGUCAGGAGAGAAUGCUUCUGGAACAUGGUCAUACAGCCUAAAAAUUUUGUUUACUGUUCUUUAUUUUCUAUGCAAUUGAGGUGUUUACUUCUGUUUUUUGCUAUGUGCUUUUUUGUUGUAUAUUGACGCUUGUUGUAAGCCACUCCGAGUCCCCUCGGGAAGAUGGGGAGGGGUAUAAAUAAAAUUUGUUAUUAUUUAUUGAAGAAUUUCUCUUUUUAUGUAGAUCUCAUCUGGAAGGAAAAACUGAUGGUCCGAAUGAACGGAAAUAAACUAUUGCAAUUAAUUCAUUAAGUAAAAUUGUAUUUACUGGAGACAAUUGCCAACUUGCCAGUGCUUCCGUAGAUUGAUUCUAUACACUAUAGAAUUCAUGGAAUUUGAUACUACAGUAGAGUCUCACUUAUCCAACAUUCGCUUAUCCAACGUUCUGGAUUAUCCAACACAGUCUGCCUUUUAGUAGUCAAUGUUUUUUAAAAACUACAAACAGACAAACAGGGCAUGCAAUUUCGGUGGGUAGGCAUCAUUAUGUCGAUUGUGCAGGGCCCACAAAACAGGAAAUCGUGGGUCACAUUUCCAUGGAGACUCAGAUAUUCGGUCUCCACUGGUGUAUAAUGAGACAAAGGCAAAGCCGUUCCAUAGAUAGCACUAUAAUAGAAGCGGGCAGCGGAGAAGAAGAAAGCAGCAAUAUAUGCCAGUGCGGCCAACAAGCAGUUGACAAUAAAAAUAUUGAAUUAAAUGGAAGCUGAUAAUAGCUUUCGCAUAACCCUGUGACGUCCAGAUGUGUUGGGUUAUAUGUCCCAUCAAGGGGGUUGUGGCCAACAUAUCUGGAUGUUAACAAGUUUAGGAAGACUGUUCUGGAUUACGUGGUCGGUGUAGACAUAUAUAAUACAGUGUAUCUUCACUAUGUGAGUGUAGGAAAAGGUUUUCCCCUGACAUUAAAUCUAGUCAUGUCUGACUCUGCGAGUGGGUGCUCAUCUCAAUUUCUAACCGAAGAGCCGGCUUUGUCCGUAGACACCUCCAAGGUCAUGUGACCGA